GUAGCCUAGUGGACAUGGCAUCUGCCCGGUAAGCGGAAGGUUGUGGGUUCGAUUCCCGAAUACU
This is a non-coding RNA of Cordylochernes scorpioides, 64 nucleotides long. NCBI's taxonomy places the organism in Eukaryota, Metazoa, Arthropoda, Arachnida, Pseudoscorpiones, Chernetidae. The record is from the annotation of a GenBank genome assembly.